This 115-nucleotide ribosomal RNA is filed under the name Corchorus capsularis. The record is from RNAcentral. Lineage: Eukaryota; Viridiplantae; Streptophyta; Magnoliopsida; Malvales; Malvaceae.
GCAAUUAUACCAGCACUAAUGCACCGGAUUCCAUCAGAACUCCACAGUUAAGCGUGCUUGGGCGAGAGUAGUACUAGGAUGGGUGACCUCCUGGGAAGUCCUCGUGUUGCAUACC